GCUAGACAAGCUUAGUUGGUAAAGCACUCGUCUAGCAUACAAGAGUCCUGGGUUCAAAUCCCAGCCGAGCA
RNAcentral lists this transfer RNA (71 nucleotides) under Aedes aegypti (yellow fever mosquito). It matches the Rfam family "tRNA". Rfam says of the family: Transfer RNA (tRNA) molecules are approximately 80 nucleotides in length. Their secondary structure includes four short double-helical elements and three loops (D, anti-codon, and T loops). Further hydrogen bonds mediate the characteristic L-shaped molecular structure. tRNAs have two regions of fundamental functional importance: the anti-codon, which is responsible for specific mRNA codon recognition, and the 3' end, to which the tRNAs corresponding amino acid is attached (by aminoacyl-tRNA synthetases). tRNAs cope with the degeneracy of the genetic code in two manners: having more than one tRNA (with a specific anti-codon) for a particular amino acid; and 'wobble' base-pairing, i.e. permitting non-standard base-pairing at the 3rd anti-codon position. Lineage: Eukaryota; Metazoa; Arthropoda; Insecta; Diptera; Culicidae. The record is from Rfam by way of RNAcentral.